RNAcentral lists this ribosomal RNA (426 nucleotides) under uncultured bacterium. Its description in RNAcentral is "bacterial SSU rRNA". It matches the Rfam family "Bacterial small subunit ribosomal RNA", at positions 365 to 781 of the family's 1533-position model. The record is from RNAcentral.
UUCGCAAUGCCCGAAAGGGUGACGAAGCGACGCCGCGUGGGUGAAGAAGGCCUUCGGGUUGUAAAACCCUGUCAGGAGUUAUGAAAUGUAAGUGCGCUAAUAUCGUGCUUAUUUGACAAAGGCUCCAAAGGAAGCCACGGCUAACUCUGUGCCAGCAGCCGCGGUAAUACAGAGGUGGCGAGCGUUGUUCGAAAUAAUUGGGCGUAAAGAGCACGUAGGUGGGUUUGCAAGUCAGAUGUGAAAGCCUUCUGUUCAACGGGAGAAUUGCAUCUGAAACUGCUAAUCUUGAGUAUAGGAGGGGAGAAUGGAACUUCUGGUGGAGCGGUGAAAUGCGUAGAUAUCAGAAGGAACGCCGGCGGCGAAAGCGAUUCUCUGGCCUAUUACUGACACUCAGUGUGCGAAAGCUAGGGGAGCAAACGGGAUUAG